GAUGAACGCUGGCGGCGUGCCUAAUACAUGCAAGUCGAGCGAACGGACGAGAAGCUUGCUUCUCUGAUGUUAGCGGCGGACGGGUGAGUAACACGUGGAUAACCUACCUAUAAGACAGGGAUAACUUCGGGAAACCGGAGCUAAUACCGGAUAAUAUUUUGAACCGCAUGGUUCAAAAGUGAAAGACGGUCUUGCUGUCACUUAUAGAUGGAUCCGCGCUGCAUUAGCUAGUUGGUAAGGUAACGGCUUACCAAGGCAACGAUGCAUAGCCGACCUGAGAGGGUGAUCGGCCACACUGGAACUGAGACACGGUCCAGACUCCUACGGGAGGCAGCAGUAGGGAAUCUUCCGCAAUGGGCGAAAGCCUGACGGAGCAACGCCGCGUGAGUGAUGAAGGUCUUCGGAUCGUAAAACUCUGUUAUUAGGGAAGAACAUAUGUGUAAGUAACUGUGCACAUCUUGACGGUACCUAAUCAGAAAGCCACGGCUAACUACGUG
Molecule: ribosomal RNA, 497 nt
Filed under: uncultured bacterium
Lineage: Bacteria
Description: partial 16S ribosomal RNA
Rfam family: Bacterial small subunit ribosomal RNA
Source: RNAcentral